Molecule: ribosomal RNA, 251 nt
Filed under: uncultured prokaryote
Description: partial 16S ribosomal RNA
Rfam family: Bacterial small subunit ribosomal RNA
Source: RNAcentral
UACGGAGGAUGCAAGCGUUAUCCGGAUUCAUUGGGUUUAAAGGGUGCGCAGGUUGUUUGAUAAGUCAGUGGUGAAAGUCUGUCGCUUAACGGUAGGAUUGCCAUUGAUACUGUUGGACUUGAAUAUGGAUGAGGUAGGCGGAAUGUGGAGUGUAGCGGUGAAAUGCAUAGAUAUUACACAGAACACCGAUUGCGAAGGCAGCUUACUAAUCCAUCAUUGACGCUGAGGCACGAAAGCGUGGGGAUCAAACA